UAGGCCCCUAUACACUCUGCAGCAGUACAUUCAAUAUCGUAGUACGCAUUUAUAAAUAAGUGUGUUGUGCUGAUGAUGAUCAUGAUGGAGCCCGUAAAUGAAGAUCAACAAGUUGAUGAAAUCUUUACUCGAUUUUGGGAAGAUGGCAUGAGGGCAUAUGGAACUUCAGAGCGAGCGAGAGUUCAAAAAGCAAGUAAAGAGACCGGUGUGUCUGUGACCUAUGUGAAGAGAUAAUAGGCGCUGAAGACAUUUCGAUCUUGAGAGAACAGGUGCAGUCGAUAUUUAACGCCAAAUAUAAGAAGCAACAGGGCAAAAGAAAAUGACAUACAAACGCCUGUCGGAAAUUAACGUUGUGGGUCUGCCGGAAGAUAUGGUGUUAAAGCGGCCUUCUGCUUAUGGGAAAAAGAGCCUCAAGAGGAUCAUUCAAGCGAAAGAUAAGAUUCAGUUCUUUCAUCCUGAACAUGCAGAACGCCACUUUCCAGCAGUAUUUAUAGACCCACUAGCUCCUGUAGCCCCUGUGGCCCCUGUGGAUGUUGUCGUCAAACAAGAAGUGCCACAUCCUGGAAUGCCAAGAAUCACCACUUUCCAGCAGUAUUUAUAGACCCACUAGCUCCUGUAGCCCCUGUGGCCCCUGUGGAUGUUGUCGUCAAACAAGAAGUGCCACAUCCUGGAAUGCCAAGAAUCAAAAACUCUGCAAGGGAUCUUGAUCAGUCUCAAAAUACUGGGCAGGAUUUUGCCGUGGAAA
Long non-coding RNA from Patiria miniata (bat star), 745 nucleotides. RefSeq lists it as uncharacterized. The record is from RefSeq and is a predicted model, not a curated record. The transcript has 7 exons. NCBI's taxonomy places the organism in Eukaryota, Metazoa, Echinodermata, Asteroidea, Valvatida, Asterinidae.